GCCCAGUUCCCGUUCCACAGGACGGCUGUGGUGUAGUAGGGUGAUAGAGCUGCAGGGUUUGGCUCCUCCACUUGUUACUCAGAGUGGAGGAUGCUGGUCCUGCCUCUCACCUUGGCUUGGAGCAAGGCUCCUGCCUCCACCCGGUUCUUUUCGACAUCUCUCUCCCAGUGAAUUCUGAUCGUCUCAAGGAUGUCGUCCAGACCAGUGCCAAUGGGAACGUUCAUUUGUUCCAGCUCAGACCCUGCCAACUGUUUGUACAGCAUUUUCACAUCCUGAAAAUGACAAUAUACAUGUCAGUGGCGAAAAAGAUCUGGACUAGAACCCCUGAAGGGAGAGGAAGCUCCGUGCCCUUCAACACAGGCUCCAUCACUCGCUACUCCCUGGACCUGCUGCCUCCCCCAUUUAUGUACCAGCCUGGGCCUGAAGCCAUUUGAGUUGGAGAUUCCCAGGGUACCUGACCCACUGCAAGGAUUGAGAGUAUUUUACUGGCCUUUUCCCUGCAGCCUGGGUGUGUCGUUAGAAGAGAUUCGCAGAAGUGGGAUGUCUGGAUCAAGUCAUAUACACAUAAAUGCAUAUCUCACUUGUCGAGAUGCGCCAGAUUCCUCGCCAUGGGGACUGUGACGUUCUCUCUUCCCGUCAGAGCUGUGCGAACUUGCCCAUUUCCCUAGCGCCUCACCAGCAGCACACACGGACACACUUCUAGAGUGUCGCCAAUCUGAUACGUGAAAAUGUCAUCUCAGGUUGGUUUUUGUCUUGUUCUGUUUGUAGUUCUCUUAUUAUGAGUGAGGUUGAGCAACCUUUUAUAUAGUUAAGAGCUAUUGUCACUUAUUUUUAUGUCAACUGUCUGUUCAUAUCCCUAAUCUAUUUAAAAAUACACAUGUUGUUGGCUUUUAUUUUAAAACUCCA
Molecule: long non-coding RNA, 906 nt
Organism: Equus caballus (horse)
Lineage: Eukaryota; Metazoa; Chordata; Mammalia; Perissodactyla; Equidae
Source: RefSeq, a predicted model, not a curated record